AGUGAACGCUGGCGGCGUGCUUAACACGUGCAAGUCGAACGAGAACGGAUUAUAGCUUGCUAUAAUUGUCAGCUAAGUGGCGCACGGGUGAGUAAUGUAUAGGUAAUAUGCCUCUUACUAAGGGAUAACAAAUGGAAACGUUUGCUAAUACCUUAUGCUCCUUAUUAACAUAAGUUAAUAAGGGAAAGAUUUAUUGGUAAGAGAUUAGCCUGUAUUGUAUCAGUUAGUUGGUGGGGUAAUGGCUUACCAAGACUAUGACACAUAACUGGUUUGAGAGGAUGAUCAGUCACACUGGAACUGAGACACGGUCCAGACUCCUACGGGAGGCAGCAGUGGGGAAUAUUGCACAAUGGACGAAAGUCUGAUGCAGCAACGCCGCGUGGAGGAUGACACAUUUCGGUGCGUAAACUCCUUUUAUAUGAGAAGAUAAUGACGGUAUUAUAUGAAUAAGCACCGGCUAACUCCGUGCCAGCCGCCGCCGUAA
This 484-nucleotide ribosomal RNA is filed under the name uncultured bacterium. RNAcentral describes it as "partial 16S ribosomal RNA". It matches the Rfam family "Bacterial small subunit ribosomal RNA", at positions 29 to 523 of the family's 1533-position model. The record is from RNAcentral.